UGGGUUGCCAACAAGCGCGGGUCUGGCGGAGCGCGGUGGCGCGCGGAGAUCGCGAGGCGACCGGGAGCGGCUGGACCCCCGGCGGCGCGCCCCUCGGUCGGGCCGGGAGCCGCGCCAGUCGGUGCCGCCGGCCGAGCGCGGUCCGCCUCCCUGUCGGUCAUCGAUCCGGAGCGCGGCCGGCGGGCAUGCCGGAUCCACCAGGGGCGCCGCCGCCGGCGCUCGCAGGCCGCGGGUGAAGAAGAAAGUGCAGCCUCGCUCGGCCCGGGGCGAAGAGGUGGCCCAGAGCGAAGAGGUGACCCCGAGCGAAGAGGAGGCCCGGAGCGAGGAAAUG
This 331-nucleotide non-coding RNA is filed under the name Equus caballus (horse). RNAcentral's name for it is "Bag-1 internal ribosome entry site (IRES)". It matches the Rfam family "Bag-1 internal ribosome entry site (IRES)". From Rfam's summary of the family: This family represents the bag-1 internal ribosome entry site (IRES). When expressed the BAG-1 protein is known to enhance the anti-apoptotic properties of Bcl-2. Although bag-1 translation usually occurs via a cap-dependent mechanism it has been found to contain a IRES in its 5' UTR. The record is from Rfam by way of RNAcentral. Lineage: Eukaryota; Metazoa; Chordata; Mammalia; Perissodactyla; Equidae.